RNAcentral lists this signal recognition particle RNA (299 nucleotides) under Cebus imitator (Panamanian white-faced capuchin). RNAcentral describes it as "Metazoan signal recognition particle RNA (ENSCCAG00000010690.1)". It matches the Rfam family "Metazoan signal recognition particle RNA". Rfam says of the family: The signal recognition particle (SRP) is a universally conserved ribonucleoprotein. It is involved in the co-translational targeting of proteins to membranes. The record is from RNAcentral. Lineage: Eukaryota; Metazoa; Chordata; Mammalia; Primates; Cebidae.
CCCAGGCGUGGUGGCACGUGCCUGUAGUCCCAGCUACUCGGGAGGCUGAGGUGGGAGGAUCGCUUGAGCCCAGGAGUUCUGGGCUAUAGUAUGUUAUGCUGAUCCGGUGUCCGCACCAACUUCAGCAUCAAUAUGGUGACCUCCCGGGAGCGGGGGGCCACCAGGUUGCCUAAGGAGGGGUGAACCGGCCCAGGUCAGAAAUGGAGCAGGUCAAAACUCCUGUGCUGAUCAGUAGUGGGAUCAAGCCUGUGAAUAGCCACUGCACUCCAGCCUGGGCAACAUAGUGAGACUCCGUCUCU